CCCUGGCUCAGGACGAACGCGGGCGGCGUGCCUAAUACAUGCAAGUCGAGCGAAUCAAUAGGAGCUUGCUCCUGUUGUUAGCGGCGGACGGGUGAGUAACACGUGGGCAACCUGCCUGUAAGACUGGGAUAACACCGGGAAACCGGUGCUAAUACCGGAUAAUCCUUUUCCUCUCAUGAGGAAAAGCUGAAAGUCGGUUUCGGCUGACACUUACAGAUGGGCCCGCGGCGCAUUAGCUAGUUGGUGAGGUAACGGCUCACCAAGGCGACGAUGCGUAGCCGACCUGAGAGGGUGAUCGGCCACACUGGGACUGAGACACGGCCCAGACUCCUACGGGAGGCAGCAGUAGGGAAUCUUCCACAAUGGACGAAAGUCUGAUGGAGCAACGCCGCGUGAGCGAUGAAGGCCUUCGGGUCGUAAAGCUCUGUUGUUAGGGAAGAACAAGUACCGGAGUAACUGCCGGUACCUUGACGGUACCUAACCAGAAAGCCACGGCUA
This 498-nucleotide ribosomal RNA is filed under the name Bacillaceae bacterium CL7.74. Its description in RNAcentral is "bacterial SSU rRNA". It matches the Rfam family "Bacterial small subunit ribosomal RNA", at positions 17 to 499 of the family's 1533-position model. Lineage: Bacteria; Bacillati; Bacillota; Bacilli; Caryophanales; Bacillaceae. The record is from RNAcentral.